Long non-coding RNA from Gallus gallus (chicken), 1189 nucleotides. The record is from Ensembl. NCBI's taxonomy places the organism in Eukaryota, Metazoa, Chordata, Aves, Galliformes, Phasianidae.
CCUGCUCCAGUGCCUGCACAGCCCCAGCUACUGCACUGCAUUGGGCUGGUAUGCCAGGAUUCAGUGAGGUUUGGCUCCAGCCCUGGCACGUAGCAGGCAGUUGGCUGCUGUGUCGCCAGGAGCUGCAAAGGGAUUUGCCCACCCCAGGGGCUGUGACACGGUGGCCUUGAGGAGCCCUAAUGGCAGCAAGUAUAUUCUGGAGGUACUGCCUGGACUCUGCCCACGUGCUGACGCAGGCAGUGCUGACCUUGUUUCCAGCCCCAGCGCUGCAAUGGACUGAGAAUCUUCUGGAUGAAACCCUGGUGCUAAGGGGCAGCCAAGUGUGACAGUGUGCACUGUGCGUGCCUUGGCCGUGUCUGGUGGCUUGGGAACCGUGGGGAUGCCGUGUCCUGGAGCCAGCUGCUGUCACUGCAGGGCACGCAGCUCCCAGGCUGCCAACUCAUCUGGCUGUGGCUGUAGGGGAGCCAUUGUUCCCAUUCCAGUUCCUGGCCUCUCCCAAAUGCAAUCCUCAUUUUGUUGCUGUGACUCCUUCCAAAGGGGCUGGAGUGUUGUCCUGCUUGUCCCCACCCCCCAGUUCCUUUUGCUCCCAUUUACUGCAGUGAAGCUUUUGAGGGAUUAGUUGCUAACUGUUUCAAAACACAUUGGAUGUGGGAGCCAAGCCCAUUGAAUUCCUUUGUGCUGGUCCAAAGCUCUCAGCUGAGGACACCAAAAUGAGUUGCUGAGGAAUUUAGUUUUGCAAGAGUAAUUCUAUUUCUGUGUAAAUUUCUGCCCUGUUUUGGGUGCUGGGGGUUAGGAUGCUGUGCUCUCCCUCAGGUGAGGCUCUCCCCACCAGCACAGAGCAGAUAUUCUGGGGUUGGAACCUGCCAGCCUGCACCGAAGUUUACCUGUGCUCACAUUCCCCUUCCCUGGGAGCAUCAGAGCAGCCCCAGCUCCUCGAGACACCAAGGCUCAGCUGACUGCAGAGCACCAGUGAUGCUGAUGUGUGACCUGCUGCCCUGCUGUGCUAUCUCCAGCCUCUUGCUGCUCUGCACCUCAAGGUAGAUCUCUAAACGUUUUCACUGCCCUAAAGAAACCAGUGUUUGCCAAUAAGAACAGCCCUUCCUUGGCCUGGCUGCUGCAAGUGUGGACGUCACGGUGGUCGCUUGAGGCAGGGGGCAGGAAGAGGGAGGACGCUGCCCUGUGCCUCCUG